RNAcentral lists this transfer RNA (94 nucleotides) under Verrucomicrobiales bacterium. RNAcentral's name for it is "tRNA-Ser". It matches the Rfam family "tRNA". From Rfam's summary of the family: Transfer RNA (tRNA) molecules are approximately 80 nucleotides in length. The record is from RNAcentral. Lineage: Bacteria; Pseudomonadati; Verrucomicrobiota; Verrucomicrobiia; Verrucomicrobiales.
GGAGAGAUGGCUGAGUGGUCGAAAGCAGUGGUUUGCUAAACCGCCGAGGUGGGUUCCCCUGCCUCCGAGGGUUCGAAUCCCUCUCUCUCCGCCA